UUUGAAUAUAAGUGUCAUUAAACGGCGGCUGUAACUCUGACGGUCCUAAGGUAGCGAAAUUCCUUGUCAAUUAAGUAUUGACCCGCAUGAAUGACGUAACGACUUCACCACUGUCUCCAGAGUUGAUCCAGUGAAUUUGCAAUUUACGUGAAGAUGCGUAAUAUUUACGGCGGGACGGAAAGACCCCGUGCACCUUAACUAUAAUUUUUAUAUUGAAAGGGGUAAUUUAGUAUGAAGAAUAAUUAGGAGUUUAUGAUCUAUGUAUUUUUUAUACAUUAGGGAGACGGUUGUGCUAUACUAGUUAUUAAAUUAGUAUCUUUUCUAAUUUUUGAGAAAAAAGUGUAUGAUUGGUAGUUUAGCGUGGGGCGGCUUCCUACCAAAAGAGUAACGGAGGAGUACAAAGACAAUUUCAAUUUAAUGUCAAUUAAAUUGUGAGCGUAAUGGUAUAAGAUUGUUAACUGUAAGAUUACAAAUCAAACAGAGAUAAUAGUUC
RNAcentral lists this ribosomal RNA (493 nucleotides) under uncultured bacterium. RNAcentral describes it as "bacterial LSU rRNA". It matches the Rfam family "Bacterial large subunit ribosomal RNA", at positions 1906 to 2408 of the family's 2925-position model. The record is from RNAcentral.